Molecule: ribosomal RNA, 403 nt
Filed under: uncultured bacterium
Lineage: Bacteria
Description: bacterial SSU rRNA
Rfam family: Bacterial small subunit ribosomal RNA
Source: RNAcentral
UGAGGAAUUUUCCGCAAUGGGCGAAAGCCUGACGGAGCGACGCCGCGUGGGUGAUGAAGUCUUUCGGGAUGUAAAGCCCUGUCGGGGGGGACGAUAUUGACGGUACCCCCAAAGGAAGCCACGGCUAACUACGUGCCAGCAGCCGCGGUAAUACGUAGGUGGCGAGCGUUAUCCGGAAUCAUUGGGCGUAAAGCGCGCGUAGGUGGUUUUGUAAGUUGGAUGUAAAAGGCUACGGCUUAACCGUGGUAAGCAUUCAAUACUGCAAAGCUGGAGAGAUUCAGAGGGAAGGGGAACUUUCGGUGUAGCGGUGAAAUGCGUAGAUAUCGAAAGGAACACCAGUGGCGAAGGCGCCUUCCUGGGGAUUUUCUGACACUGAGGCGCGAAAGCCAGGGGAGAGAACGGG